UAGAGUUUGAUCCUGGCUCAGAACGAACGCUGGCGGCAUGCCUAACACAUGCAAGUCGAACGGGAUCCGGACUUCGGUCCGGUGAGAGUGGCGGACGGGUGAGUAACGCGUGGGAACCUGCCCAAUGGUCUGGGAUAACCGCGGGAAACUGCGGCUAAUACCGGAUAAGCCCGAGAGGGGAAAGAUUUAUCGCCGAUGGAGGGGCCCGCGUCCGAUUAGGUAGUUGGUGAGGUAACGGCUCACCAAGCCGACGAUCGGUAGCUGGUCUGAGAGGAUGAUCAGCCACACUGGGACUGAGAUACGGCCCAGACUCCUACGGGAGGCAGCAGUGGGGAAUAUUGGACAAUGGGGGCAACCCUGAUCCAGCAAUGCCGCGUGAGUGAUGAAGGCCUUAGGGUUGUAAAGCUCUUUUGGCGGGGACGAUGAUGACGGUACCCGCAGAAUAAGCCCCGGCUAACUUCGUGCCAGCAGCCGCGGUAAUACGAAGGGGGCGAGCGUUGUUCGGAAUUACUGGGCGUAAAGGGCGCGUAGGCGGCGACCCAAGUCAGAUGUGAAAGUCCUGGGCUUAACCUGGGGACUGCAUUUGAUACUGGGUUGCUUGAAUGCAGGAGAGGAUAGCGGAAUUCCCAGUGUAGAGGUGAAAUUCGUAGAUAUUGGGAAGAACACCGGUGGCGAAGGCGGCUAUCUGGACUGUGAUUGACGCUGAGGCGCGAAAGCGUGGGGAGCAAACAGGAUUAGAUACCCUGGUAGUCCACGCCGUAACGAUGAAUGCUAGACGCUGGGGAGCAUGCUCUUCGGUGUCGCAGCUAACGCAUUAAGCAUUCCGCCUGGGGAGUACGGUCGCAAGAUUAAAACUCAAAGGGAUUUGACGG
This 872-nucleotide ribosomal RNA is filed under the name uncultured bacterium. RNAcentral's name for it is "bacterial SSU rRNA". It matches the Rfam family "Bacterial small subunit ribosomal RNA", at positions 1 to 916 of the family's 1533-position model. The record is from RNAcentral.